Molecule: non-coding RNA, 2827 nt
Organism: Malus domestica (apple)
Lineage: Eukaryota; Viridiplantae; Streptophyta; Magnoliopsida; Rosales; Rosaceae
Source: RefSeq, a predicted model, not a curated record
UCGGUCUCUCUCUUCCCUCUCGCUCCUCUCUCCCACUCCGUCUCUUCCGUCUCUUCCGUCUCUGCCCUCUCUCUCACUCCGUCUCGCUCUUCUCUCCCACUCCUGUGCACACCCGCCAAACCGCUGCCCCUCGUUUCUCUUCCCUGGAAGAUCGUGUUGCUUCCUUGAGGCCAUCAUCGCCUCUUUACCUUCACUCGAGGCCUUCAACGACUCUCUUACAAAAUUAGGGUUUUAUUUGGUGCUAGGUUCAUUCUUCUAGAAAAACAGGUUAGGAAUUUGUUGUUAAUUUAAGUGUAAUUUAAGUUUCUGUGAAAAUAUUAGUUCUAAAAUUAGGGUUUUAUUUGGUCCAGAUUUCAAUUUUAGUUUGUGUAUCAGAUUUCAAUUUCAAUUAGCGGUUCUUUGAACUGUUUCGCAUCUAGGGACCAAAAUCCGCAGGGUGAUGGGAUAUAUGAUAUAUUGGAGGAAUUGACUGUGAAGAUGAAACAUUAUCGUUUGUGAUUGUCGAUCCAACUUUAAUCGUCUAUGAUAUACAUUUUCUCAAGAUUCCUAAAAAUACAUAGUUAAGGACUGGAUUAAAAGGGUGAAUUUUCCUAAAACUAGACUGGCUGGUUUCUGGCAAGUCAGUGGGCAUGUUUUUUUAUUGAGUUUAGCUUCAUCUUAGGUUUAUGUGAUGUAUCGUGAUGUUUGUAUCUGCACCUGGAAUCUACUUUCGUGCUAAUUUAGAUUUUGGUGCAGGUCAGCAGUUGUCUAAGUUAUAUUCUUUUGGUUGAUCUACUUAGAACUCUUGAUAAUCUUAAUGUUUUGUGCUGUAUCUCCCCGUGAAGGCUAUUAUAACUGCCUAAGUUAUGAGACCCAUGUUGGCAAUAUUUAUGUGGCUUUGCUGACAAAUUGGCUAUGGUUGAAAUUUUGUUACUUAGCUUUGCUGACAAAGUGGCCAUGCUGGGUUUGAGAAUGAUUAAUCCACUUUCUGAAUUUAAUUACUUUGAACUUUGUCUAGUGUCCUUCCAAAGCAUUUCAUAUGGGGAAUGCUGACUUGGAAGCCCGGUGCUUUUACUUUGUCUAGUGUCCUUCCAGUUUUUGCAGAAUAUGUAGAUGUUAUCAAGGGAAAGGAGAUUCAUGGGUAUGCUAUAAGACGUGGGCUUGAUGCAGAUGUAUUCAUUGGGAGUAGCUUAAUUGACAUGUAUGCCAAUUGUACUUGAGUGCAAGAUUCCCUGCGGGUGUUCAACCUGCUACCUAAUCGUGAUGCCAUUUCAUGGAACUCGAUCAUUGCAGGAUGUGUGCAGAAUAAAUGUUUUAGCUCUAGUUGAAUUGUGGAUUCAGUUUAGGAGUUUUGGCAUCUGUGCGUGGGUUACCUAUUGCAUUAUGCCUUACUACAUUGUAAAUUUGUAAUCAACAUAUUGGUUUUUCCUUUUCUUUGUCUUUGUCUUUGUGUUACCUAUUUCUUUCUCCGCUGGUACAUUUAAGAGUCUACAGGGAGAAGGUGGCUUUGGACCUGUGUACAAGGGUACACUGAUAGGAGGAAAAGAUAUUGCAGUAAAGAGGCUUUCAAAGAAUUCCGGACAAUGAAUGAGAGAGUUCAAAACUGAAGUUAUACUCAUAGCCAGACCUCAGCAUCGCAAUCUUGUUAAGCUUCUCGGUUGUUGCAUUCAAAAAAUGCGAAAAGAUUCUAAUAAAUGAAUUUGUGCCCAACAAAAGCUUGGACUUCUAUAUUUUUGGAGGGACAAAAAUUGCUCGACUAGCCUAAGUGCUUCCACAUUAUCGGUGGAGUUGCUCGAGGGCUUCUUUAUCUUCAUCAGGACUCUAGACUAAGGAUUAUACAUCGAGAUCUUAAACCUAGCAAUAUUCUGCUAGAUGACAAUAUGAACUUGAAGAUUUCAGACUUUGGCUUGGCUAAAACAUUCGGCGGUGAUCAAAGUCAGGCCAAUACAAACAGAGUGGUUGGAACCUUCAAAUGGAAUUUUCUCGAUGAAGUUUAUGUGUUUAGCUUUGGAGUCAUACUGCUCGAGAUGUUGAGUAGGAAGAAGAUCAGGGAUUUCUCAUCAAGAUCACUACCACAACCUUCUUGGACAUGCAUGGAUGCUAUGGAUUCAAGAUAAACCACUAUAAUUGAUCGAUAAGAUGUUUUGUGAUUCGUGGAACAUAUCUGAAGUGUUAUGGUGUCUUCAAGUCGGGAUGUUAUGUGUGCAAAGAGUACCUAAAGAUAGACCAAGCAUGUCAUGUGGUUUUGAUGUUGAGCAGUGAUGUUGCCUUGCCGCCUCCAAAGCAGCCUGGUUUUUACACUGAACGAAGUGUCCCUGAUACACCAUUAAGGAUGUUUUUUUGUUCAAACAAUACUUUCAGCACUAAGUUGAUAGAACCUCGAUAGAUCAUCAUUGCAGUGCUUGUUAGUCCUUCAAUCUACCAUCACAACACGCAUUCGGAAGGUUGACAUGAAGCUUGUAGUCUUGGCUGGGAAACAAUGAGACAUGCGAUAAUAACUUUGAGAGAAAAGUAUUUAUGAAAGUUUAGUAGUUCCUAGAGCACAAUAGAGAAAGGAUUUGGGGUUGUUAGGUGGUUGAAGAAAAUUUACGUUAUAGUUAAAGUUGAGUUUAUUAUUUCUUAAUUAGAUAAUUUCAUUGAGUAGGAAAGUAGAUCAUGCAUAUGUACAUAGGAAGUUGGAGAAGCAAGACGAGCCUUGCUCCAACAACACUAUAAACUCCUCUGAAGGAAUGCCAUAUUUGGCUAAGAUCACCAAAACGUAAAGCUUUAUUGAUUCCUUGAGGAACUCAUGUCGCAUGCGCGCUGAUAUUAGCACGGUCCAUGCACUUAGUUCUGGUUUGGGUAUUUU